CCUACGGGAGGCAGCAGUGAGGAAUAUUGGUCAAUGGACGCAAGCCUGAACCAGCCAUGCCGCGUGAGGGAAGAAGGCCCUAUGGAUUGUAAACCGCUUUUGUACGGGGGCAAACUCAGCUACGUGUGGCUGUUUGAGAGUACCUUACGAAUAAGCAUCGGCUAACUCCGUGCCAGCAGCCGCGGUAAUACGGAGGAUGCGAGCGUUAUCCGGAUUUAUUGGGUUUAAAGGGUGCGUAGGCGGGUGGGUAAGUUAGAGGUGAAAUCCCGAGGAUCAACUUCGGAAAGGCAGGUGAUAAGGGUAGGCGAGAGAGGAGUUGAGGUAGGCAGAAGGUAGGGUGUAGAGGGGAAAUGCGUAGAGAUCAUACAGAACACCGAUUGAGAAGGAAGCUAAACAAGGUACGUCUGACGUUGAGGCACGAAAGAGUGGGGAGCAAACAGGAUUAGAUAACCGAGUAGUC
This 460-nucleotide ribosomal RNA is filed under the name uncultured bacterium. RNAcentral describes it as "partial 16S ribosomal RNA". It matches the Rfam family "Bacterial small subunit ribosomal RNA", at positions 338 to 795 of the family's 1533-position model. The record is from RNAcentral.